UAAAUUAUUGUUUUUGUUUAAAAUUUAAAAAUAAAUUAUUAGAAAAUUAGGAUUUUCGAAAUCACGUACCAGAAGACUCGGCUAUGCGUGUUUAGCUUUAACUAAUUAUAUUAAAAAAUUAUUUUUAGAAAAUAAAAUUUAUGUUAUAAAUGGUGGAAUAUAUUGAUUUUUUAGUUAAAUAAAAAUAAUAUAAAAUUAAUAAUUGACUUGGUUUAGUAUCCAAUUAAAUUAAUUUAAAUUUAAUCUAAAGUAAAGUAAAUGAAAUAGAAUAAAUUUGUCGGGAAUAAUAUUUUUUUUUGGGAUUUGAUGGUUAAUUGGAAGUAACACCUUUUAACUAAGUUUAUUGUUUUUUGAAUGUCUCUAGAUUUAAUUUUAUAUUAAAAAUAAUUUUUUAAGAUUGAGGUAAAUACUAAAAAUAUAAUUUAGUCUAAAUUUAAUCACAUUUUUAUAAAAAUUGAAUAUUUUUUUAGUUAAAAUAGAAAUUGGAAAAAAAAGUAAUUAAUCUUUUUUUUAUUUUAAUGAAUUUAAUCUUUAUUCAGUACUAAUUGUCCAUCAUUACUUUUAGUAAAAGUUGUAGCAUAGUAGAUUUAUAGGAAUUUGAAUCUAU
This 607-nucleotide ribosomal RNA is filed under the name Meloidogyne enterolobii. RNAcentral describes it as "12S ribosomal RNA". The record is from RNAcentral. Lineage: Eukaryota; Metazoa; Nematoda; Chromadorea; Rhabditida; Meloidogynidae.